This 1421-nucleotide long non-coding RNA is filed under the name Cervus hanglu yarkandensis (Yarkand deer). RNAcentral's name for it is "lncRNA (ENSCHYG00000009701.1)". The record is from RNAcentral. Lineage: Eukaryota; Metazoa; Chordata; Mammalia; Artiodactyla; Cervidae.
CUAUAAUGUGGGAGACCCGGGUUUGAUCCCUGGUUGGGGAAGAUCAUCUGGAGAAGGAAAUGGCAACCCACUCCUGUACUUUUGCCUGGAAAAUCUCAUGGGAGGAGCCUGGUAGGCUACAGUCCAUGGAGUCCCAAAGAGUCAGACACGACUGAAUGACUUUACUUCACUUACUUCUAGGAAGAAUCCACAUGCCAAAGAGCAACUGAAUCUGUGAGCCACAAUACUAAGCCCAUGAGCGGCAACUACUGAAGGCUUCAUGCUACAACAGGAGAAGCCACUGAAAUGAAAUAAGAAGCCCUUGCACGCACAACAAUAACACAAUAUGCUUUAUGCUAAAUAGGUAACAACUCCAUAUACAGUGCUUUUUGGGCAACGAGACUGUGAUGCCUCAUUGGAAGAGUGGCUGAAUGCUUCAGUGAGUCUGGGGUGAUGGGUAAACAGGUGUUUCCUGGUUCCAACUCUGUUUUAUCUCCUUAGAACACAUGAUGAAUAUGAAAAAUGUGCUAACCACAUAUGAAGUCCCCUACAGACAACCAGAAUUUCAGCAGGCAGCAGCGACCACCCAGCUGGAAGCUGGAAGAUUGACACGUGGGAACUUCAAGAUAUCCAAGAGUUAUCCGAGAAGAUUACCUUUUUGCCAAGAACUGACCGAAAUUCCUCAGUGAGAGGUGAGAGCAAAUGGUGGAAGAGAAGACAACUACAGCAAUGAAGCUCUGCUCGUAGGAAGAGGAACAGGUUGCAUCUUGAAGUGAAUUUGCUGCAACCAUUUGGAAGGAAACCUACCAGGUGUGGCUCCUGACAACUCUAACUCACAGAGAAAAUGAUAGCAUUUGCGGCUUGGAGAGUCAUCUCACAGAUCAGCCAUCCCACUCUUGGUAUACAGAUUUUAAUUUAGACUCGAUUAGAAAUUUUCUGAGCUACUGAGAAAUUAAACAUGGACUGAAUUGCCUCCCAUCAGGUAAUUAAUGUCAGAAUCACUGGUGAUAAAACAUAGUGAAAAAAUUGUAUCACAAAUAUAGUUUAAAAAGUACCCUAUUUAAAAAUCCAGAGAAUUGAGUUCUAGCUCAUGGGUUGCCCUUGAGCAGCUUGUGACCUUGGUGAAGGUCCUUGUGGGACUUUAUUUUCUUAACUUAUACAAUAAAAGGCUGAAGUUGGAGAGAUUCCAGUUCUAAUAAUCUAUUCUGUUUCUGCUUCAGUUGCCAACAGGCUAGGGGAAAAAAGAGAAUAAAAGGAAAGAUAUAAACAAAAGAACCCUGCAUUUAGUCAACAUUUGCCACUAAAAAAAAAUAAAUAAAUUACAAAAACAGUUCCCUUUUUUAAGAGGAAAAAUUUUCAUUAUACUUUAUUUUGACUCAGUUGCCUAAUUUCACUGAAUAACCUCUAAUUACAUUUAUUCAGACCUAAUGAGCUAAAUUAUA